Molecule: unclassified non-coding RNA, 250 nt
Filed under: Hevea brasiliensis (rubber tree)
Lineage: Eukaryota; Viridiplantae; Streptophyta; Magnoliopsida; Malpighiales; Euphorbiaceae
Source: RNAcentral
GUUUAGAAUGAAUAGUUAAUGUUAAAGAGUUUUGACGUCAAAACAAAUACUUUUUUGACACUGACAUAUAAUAACUGAUCCUAUCUAAAAACAAACAUGCAUCAAAACAAGACACUUCACCCAAAAUUGGUGAACAGUCUCACGUCCGUCUUCUCCAAAUAUAAAACUUAAUGAAUAAUUAUUUCAGGUCACCCAUUUUUGGAUGAACAAUGCUUACUGUUUGAAACAAUCAACAAGAUGGCGCUGCGUG